RNAcentral lists this unclassified non-coding RNA (275 nucleotides) under uncultured Cortinarius. Its description in RNAcentral is "sequence contains ITS2". The stretch from base 1 to 52 matches the Rfam family "5.8S ribosomal RNA", at positions 103 to 154 of the family's 154-position model. Lineage: Eukaryota; Fungi; Basidiomycota; Agaricomycetes; Agaricales; Cortinariaceae. The record is from RNAcentral.
AACGCACCUUGCGCUCCUUGGUAUUCCGAGGAGCAUGCCUGUUUGAGUGUCAUUAAUAUAUCAACCUUCUCUUUUUUGAGUUGUUUGGAUGUGGGGGUUUGCUGGCCUCUUAAAUGAUUCAGCUCCCCUGAAAUGCAUUAGCAGAACAACCUGUUCAUUGGCGUGAUAAUUAUCUAUGCUAUUGAAUGUGAGGGGCAGUUCAGCUUUCUAACCGUCCUCGGACAAUUCAUCAUUAAUGUGACCUCAAAUCAGGUAGGACUACCCGCUGAACUUAA